Molecule: long non-coding RNA, 3012 nt
Organism: Canis lupus familiaris (dog)
Lineage: Eukaryota; Metazoa; Chordata; Mammalia; Carnivora; Canidae
Exons: 3
Source: RefSeq, a predicted model, not a curated record
CCCCACGAGGUGGGGCCGGAGCGGGAGCACGUGUCCUGCCGCGUGGGGGCUGCCCUCGAGGUCACGGAGCCAGCGGCCGCCCCCACGGCCUCGGAAGGCCCCACGUGGUCAACAGGCGCUUCCCCAAGCCCGUGGGCCCCCCCCCGGCCGGGGAGGACUGCGGCUCAGGGGCAUGGCCUCGCCCCACCCCUCACGGGGUCCUGGGGACAGCAGCCCAUUCCUGUGCCCGGACAGAAAAAGGGCUGAACAGCCGACAUACGUGGACAUCUCCACGCGUGGCCGCGCGCACCACGAGGGCGGGGGUUCAACGCGUCUCCUCCGUCAACAUGGACUGAGCGCGGGAGCUGCAGGAACCGGCACAGCAGGCGGCAGCUGAUAAACACCAUAACAAGAACUGAGCCUCAGAGGAAGCUGUCCUCUCAUGAUGUACCUUAGAUAGGGUCUUGGGAGCAAAACAUGGACAAAAAAAAAAAAAAACCCCUAAACGAUCGCAGAAGGGAGCUUUGGAUUUAGGCAGAUUUAUAUAAAAGUUUUUUUUUUUUCUAAUCUCUGAAAUAUGUUAAGUGAGAAACAACGCUGCAGAGCAAUGUAUGGUCUGAUCCUUUUUGUAUGGAAAGAGAACAUCUUAGAACAUCUUCAUGCACAUUGUGGCUUUGAUCCCAAGAAAAUGUGGAGAUUUGCUGACGAUUUCAAGCAGGAGAAUAAAUCAAUAUUCUGACAAAAAAAUGUGGCUGCUUUCAAGACAACUUAAAUUACGUAUUUCUGUUGGACAGCCUGGCCCACAUGCAACCCCAGAGCACCUUCCUGAGGAUUCGGUUGCCCAGCCAACCCCUUGUAAUCGGAGAUCUCGGGGACUGAGCUUUCUGCACAAAUGGUAUUUUCCUGGAAGGAGGUUGACUGCAAGGGACAGUCGAGCAGGAUUACUGUCGUCACUUGGGCGUGGGACUGGUGGUGGCAGUGGAGGCGCAGUUUGGAAACGGGGCUUCUGGCCCUGGUUGCCCUUCUUUGGGAAUGGGAACCGUAGUCUCUAGAUCAGUAACACAGGGACCAAGGUCAAUAAAACUAAGCUCACUGAAGACUCGAACGCUCUGCUACCCACAGAGGACAAGCAGUUUUCUCACUUGUAUUUAGCAAAAUAAACAGAGACCUAGAGGACACUGCAGAAGCAUCAGGAAAACAUCAGUCAACUGUUCGGGCUCUUGGACUUUAGCCUGAUCAUAUUUGCAUCCUUCAUGGCAUUAAAUUUUCUUCAUAAGAAGUCUUAAAAAAAAAUCCAAGGACACCUGGAGAACAGGAAGAGCUUCGGAGCUUUCAGCACGAGGUCUGGUCCAUGUCUGGCAUGCGGUGAGUCCAUGUCUUAGUGAGAAGCGUAACUAUUUAUUAUGGCUAUUUUGGGGCCUUUUCUUGGUCGUCAGUGAGCCCCCGGAAGGAGACGGUACUUUCUUCCACUUUGAGCGGGGAUCAGCCCACACGUGCCUGUGGUAGCAGGUGUUGCCAAGUGUCAGUUGGUGCAGGAUGAAUGCACCUGCGCCCCCCACGCUGUGCUGUGCAGGGGUGGGUCACUUCCCGGCCCCCCUGCCCCCAGGACGGGGGGGGGGUGCACAACGGCCAAUGGAGGAGAAAACAGCAACCUUUCAGUCCCGGAGGGACUCUUAACCCCAAAUGAGAGCCCUUAUGGUUCUGGGCAAAAUCGGGAAGGGGACAGAGGUCACAAGAGAUGACAGCCAGCCCCAGGGCCUCACAGGGCUCCUGUGGUUCCUGCGGCCUCAUCAUGAUCCCAGAAUUGCCUCUGCACUGCCCUUCCCCUAAGGAGCCACUGAGAAAAGGAAGGACCGUCCUCCAGCUACAUCACACGUCUCCCUUGGGUUUCCUUUUACCACUUUGGAGAGUGGACCCCAAGGUGCCCAGACUCUUCUGAUAUCUUCAAAAAAUCAAACUAAUGGAUGCUAGAGUAUUACCCCGGCCCUAGGAAGGCCAGGAUGGCCUCAGCAUCACUCCACAUUCCACGCCAUUCCGCGUUCCCUCCCUUAUUCCUCCUCACUCCCCUCCUGCCAAACACGUCUCUUCUCUCAUUCCCUUAGGCCACCCUGCUUCCCGGGUCCUGGCUCGUAGGCAAACCCAGGGAUCUGUGCUCACCUACAGGUGCCGUCGUGGGACUUUGUAUAUGGGGGGUGGGGUAGGGGAGGAAGUAUUUACUCAAGAUCACCUUUUUUCCCCCCUAAUCAUAAAAUAGAUAGGUAUUCACUUAGAAAAUGGGGGAAAAAUAUACAAGAGUAAUAAAAAUCUCUCCUGUAAUUCCACUAUUUUUUUUAAAAGACUAUUUAUUCAUGAGAGACACAGAGAGAGAGAGGCAGAGGGAGAAGCAGGCUCCAUGCAGGGAGCCCGAUGUGGGUGGGACUCGAUCCCAGGACCCGGGGUCAGGCCUGAGCCCAAGGCAGCUGCUCAGCCGCUGAGCCCCUGGCGUCCCUGUAAUUCCAUCCUUAAGAAAUAACCAGUUAACAUUUUUGCUGUUUUCUCUAAGCCCUUGUGUACGCAUGUCCUCGCCUCCCACUUGGAGGCACACGACAUCUGUCAGGCUCAGUCCUGUGCUUUCCCACCGAACGUCAUACUUCAAAUGUUUUCUCGUGUCAGUUAAUAUCCUUUAAAAUGUUGCUUCUAUUUGGAAUCUAUUCCUUUGGAUGAAUGUUCCAUGAUUUAUUUAAUUAACCCCCUAUUGUGGGAGAUUUAGCUUGUUUCUAAUUUCUCACUAUUGAAAAUGACUCCGGGAUAAAUGCUUUUGUACACACAUUUUGUUUACCACUUUGGUUCUCACCGUAUGGUGGGUCCCUGGAUGUGAAGUGAUGGAGGCCUGGGGUGUGAGCAUUUUUAAGACUGUCAUAUAGAUUAACCAAAUUACUCUCCAGAAACAUUGUAGCAAUUUAUAUGCCCACCAGCACGGGAAGUGCUUAUUUUUUUUUACUUCCUACUGUUCUCAUGUGAGUGAUCUUUGCAAAACUGACGGAUGACACAUAA